UCCUACGGGACGCAGCAGUGGGGAAUAUUGCACAAUGGGCGAAAGCCUGAUGCAGCAACGCCGCGUGAAGGAAGAAGGCCUUCGGGUCGUAAACUUCUGUCCUUGGGGAAGAAGAACUGACGGUACCCAAGGAGGAAGCCCCGGCUAACUACGUGCCAGCAGCCGCGGUAAUACGUAGGGGGCGAGCGUUGUCCGGAAUCACUGGGCGUAAAGGGCGCGUAGGCGGUUUAAUAAGUCAGUGGUGAAAACUGAGGGCUCAACCCUCAGCCUGCCACUGAUACUGUUAGACUUGAGUAUGGAAGAGG
RNAcentral lists this ribosomal RNA (305 nucleotides) under uncultured bacterium. Its description in RNAcentral is "bacterial SSU rRNA". It matches the Rfam family "Bacterial small subunit ribosomal RNA", at positions 337 to 657 of the family's 1533-position model. The record is from RNAcentral.